RNAcentral lists this ribosomal RNA (255 nucleotides) under uncultured bacterium. RNAcentral describes it as "partial 16S ribosomal RNA". It matches the Rfam family "Bacterial small subunit ribosomal RNA", at positions 524 to 776 of the family's 1533-position model. The record is from RNAcentral.
UACGGAGGGUCCGAGCGUUAAUCGGAAUUACUGGGCGUAAAGCGUGCGCAGGCGGUUUGUUAAGCGAGAUGUGAAAGCCCUGGGCUCAACCUAGGAAUAGCAUUUCGAACUGGCGAACUAGAGUCUUGUAGAGGGGGUAGAAUUCCAGGUGUAGCGGUGAAAUAGCGUAGAGAUCUGGAGGAAUACCGGUGGCGAAGGCGGCCCCCUCGGACAAAGAACUGACGCUCAUGCACGAAAGCGUGGGGAGCAAACAGG